GCCUGGCACAGUGGCGCAUGCCUGUAAUCCCAGCUACUCAGGAGGCUGAGGCGGGAUGAUCGCUUGAGCCCAGGAAUUCUGGCAUGUAGCGCACUAUGCUGAUCAGGUGUGUGCACUAAGGUCAGCAUCACUGUGGUGACCUCCCAGGAGCAGAGGCCACCAGGUAGCCCAAGGAGGGGUGAACCUGCCCAGGUCAGAAACAGAGCAGGUCAAAACAAUCAGUAGUGGGAUUGAGUCUGUCAAUAGCCGCUGUACCCAGCCUGGGGAACAUAGCUGAGACCCCUGUCUCU
This 290-nucleotide signal recognition particle RNA is filed under the name Prolemur simus (greater bamboo lemur). RNAcentral describes it as "Metazoan signal recognition particle RNA (ENSPSMG00000025108.1)". It matches the Rfam family "Metazoan signal recognition particle RNA". From Rfam's summary of the family: The signal recognition particle (SRP) is a universally conserved ribonucleoprotein. Lineage: Eukaryota; Metazoa; Chordata; Mammalia; Primates; Lemuridae. The record is from RNAcentral.